RNAcentral lists this ribosomal RNA (255 nucleotides) under uncultured fungus. Its description in RNAcentral is "partial 28S ribosomal RNA". It matches the Rfam family "Eukaryotic large subunit ribosomal RNA", at positions 399 to 675 of the family's 3401-position model. Lineage: Eukaryota; Fungi. The record is from RNAcentral.
GUGAAAUUGUUGAAAGGGAAGCGCUUGUGACCAGACUUGGGCCCGGUUAAUCAUCCAGCGUUCUCGCUGGUGCACUUGGCCGGCCCAGGCCAGCAUCAGUUCGGCGUGGGGGAUAAAGGCGGCGGGAAUGUGGCUCCUCCGGGAGUGUUAUAGCCCACCGUGUAAUACCCUGUGCUGGACUGAGGUUCGCGCAUUCGCAAGGAUGCUGGCGUAAUGGUCAUUAGCGACCCGUCUUGAAACACGGACCAAGGAGUC